GGCCAUAUCACGUUGAAACACCCGUUCCCGUAUGAUCACCGAAGUUAAGCAACAUAGACCCUGGCCAAUACCUAGUUGGGUGACUGCUUCUGAAUACUAGAUG
This is a non-coding RNA of Acanthosepion pharaonis, 103 nucleotides long. NCBI's taxonomy places the organism in Eukaryota, Metazoa, Mollusca, Cephalopoda, Sepiida, Sepiidae. The record is from the annotation of a GenBank genome assembly.